AAUAAACGCUGGCGGCGUGCCUAACACAUGCAAGUCGAGCGAGAAAGCUCCUUCGGGAGUUAGUAAAGCGGCGAACGGGUGAGCAACACGUGAGAAUCUACCCUUUAGUGAAGAAUACCCUCGAGAAAUCGAGGCUAAUACUGCAUACGUCCCUUCGGGGAGAAAGAUGGCCUCUUUGCUAUCGCUAAAGGAUGAGCUUGCGUACUAUUAGCUAGUUGGCGGGGUAAAGGCCCACCAAGGCAAUGAUGGUUAACCGGCCUGAGAGGGUGUACGGUCACACUGGAACUUAGACACGGUCCAGACUCCUACGGGAGGCAGCAGUGAGGAAUCUUGCGCAAUGGGCGAAAGCCUGACGCAGCGACGCCGCGUGGAGGAUGACGGUUUUCGGAUUGUAAACUCCUGUUAAGCGGGAAGAAAGCCUUGUUCUAAUACAAGCAAGGUAUGACGGUACCGCUAGAGAAAGCACCGGCUAACUUCGUGCCAGCAGCCGCGGUAAUGUGACG
This 503-nucleotide ribosomal RNA is filed under the name uncultured bacterium. Its description in RNAcentral is "bacterial SSU rRNA". It matches the Rfam family "Bacterial small subunit ribosomal RNA", at positions 29 to 530 of the family's 1533-position model. The record is from RNAcentral.